CAGGGAGGUUCGACUCGAGCGAAGCGAGAGAACGUUGCGCCAGCAACGGCCCGCAGGGCGAGCCACGAAGUGGCGAGUAAUCCUCUAUCACCGACCA
Molecule: small RNA, 97 nt
Filed under: Shigella sonnei
Lineage: Bacteria; Pseudomonadati; Pseudomonadota; Gammaproteobacteria; Enterobacterales; Enterobacteriaceae
Description: partial RtT sRNA
Rfam family: RtT RNA
About the family: This family represents a bacterial cis-regulatory element known as RtT RNA.
Source: RNAcentral